This is a long non-coding RNA of Ipomoea nil (Japanese morning glory), 115 nucleotides long. RefSeq lists it as uncharacterized. NCBI's taxonomy places the organism in Eukaryota, Viridiplantae, Streptophyta, Magnoliopsida, Solanales, Convolvulaceae. The transcript has 3 exons. The record is from RefSeq and is a predicted model, not a curated record.
GGAUUUAUUCUUGUCAUCCUGUGCAUGAAAUACAAUUUAAGUAUUGUGUUUAGUUUGUGUGUUCAUUUUUUCACUAUCCUUUGGUGCCUGUCAAGGGAAUAGCCUAAACAAAUGU